RNAcentral lists this ribosomal RNA (459 nucleotides) under uncultured bacterium. RNAcentral describes it as "partial 16S ribosomal RNA". It matches the Rfam family "Bacterial small subunit ribosomal RNA", at positions 338 to 795 of the family's 1533-position model. The record is from RNAcentral.
CCUACGGGAGGCAGCAGUGAGGAAUAUUGGUCAAUGGGCGCGAGCCUGAACCAGCCAAGUCGCGUGAGGGAAGACGGUCCUAUGGAUUGUAAACCUCUUUUGUCGGGGAGCAAAAGACGCCACGCGUGGCGUUCCGAGAGUACCCGAAGAAAAAGCAUCGGCUAACUCCGUGCCAGCAGCCGCGGUAAUACGGAGGAUGCGAGCGUUAUCCGGAUUUCUUGGGUUUAAAGGGGGCGCAGGCGGAAGAUCAAGUCAGUGGUAAAAUUGAGAGGCUCAACCUCUUCGAGCCGUUGAAACUGGUUUUCUUGAGUGAGCGAGAAGUAGGCGGAAUGCGUGGUGUAGCGGUGAAAUGCAUAGAUAUCACGCAGAACUCCGAUUGCGAAGGCAGCAUACCGGCGCUCAACUGACGCUCAUGCACGAAAGUGUGGGUAUCGAACAGGAUUAGAUACCCCAGUAGUC